AUAUGUGUGUGUAUUAAUAUACAAGGUCCAGCAGAAGGAAUACCUGCUUGAAUGUGGUUGUUAGGGUAACAUUAUGGGUGUAAUAAUUUAUAGUUUUUAAUUUGAACACUCACCUAAAAUGUCAUAUGCUGUGCUUCAGUGUAAUAUUGUUGUGUUACAGAAU
Phyllostomus discolor (pale spear-nosed bat) is the source of this 163-nucleotide long non-coding RNA. RefSeq lists it as uncharacterized. The record is from RefSeq and is a predicted model, not a curated record. The transcript has 3 exons. Lineage: Eukaryota; Metazoa; Chordata; Mammalia; Chiroptera; Phyllostomidae.